This is a non-coding RNA of Bemisia tabaci, 617 nucleotides long. NCBI's taxonomy places the organism in Eukaryota, Metazoa, Arthropoda, Insecta, Hemiptera, Aleyrodidae. The record is from RefSeq and is a predicted model, not a curated record.
CGUUACACUUGAUUGCAGUGCAUAGGAGGGUAUUCCCUCUUUUGUGGAGUUUCGAAUUUUAUGGUCUAGAAUUCACAUCUAGUAGUUUGUUAACCAGAUUCUGGAAUAGUAGUUUACUGCUACAAAAAAGGAGGAAUUCUGUAAAAUGGGCUUCUCAGUUCUAAGUGAAAAUUUGUGGACACCCUUCUGUUGUUUUUUCUUCGUUUUCACGGUAUUCGCGACUGCUGCCCUUGUAACAGCUAUUUGUCAGCCUGCACGUUCAUAUAACAUUUAGGAAGCUCUUACCUUUGUCGAGGAUGAACUUUUCCUCUAUCUUUGAAAACUCGUCGAUUUUAUUUCUACCCUAAGGCUGUCUCGGGGCCGUAUCAGAGAUGAUCAAAAAUAUGGAAAGUUCGUCAACAACCCUCUUUUGGAAACGUUUUCACCCUCGACCGCGAAGAUCCUCGGCUUCAACUUCAACCCCACAUUUGCUCCAUCUGCGGAUGCCGUUACAAACAUGCCCGCAGCUUGAGGGACCAUGAAAAAUCGCAUAACACGGAAUUCCUGUGCAAGUUGUGCCAGAAGAACUUCUCCCUCAAGUCCAACUACACAAGACAUAUGCUCCUCGCUCACCAAAU